CCGCAGUCUCAAGCUGCCUGCUUCCCUGGGCUCAGUUAACAACAAUGCAGGGAUGGCAGGAGAGGGCAACCUGUACGCAGAACAGGCACCCAAAUCUCUUUCUGAACAAUGCCUCCAGAUCAGCUUUUGAAAACUCACCUGCAAAUUGACAUGACUGUUUACCUGUUUGAAUUUGGCUGGCAGGUGGGAGUUUGCUGUUCCCUGGCAAGAAGGCUCCAGCAAGUCCAGAGGCCUAGCUGCUUGUCGUGACUCUGCUCCCCCUGGUACCCAAAGGGAGUCUCUUCACCUACUGGGCUUGGAGCUUCUCGUCAGCAAAGUGUGUGUAUGAGACUAGUUCACCUUCAAGAAUGCACAGCACAGGUGGACAAUCAUGGACAUUCCAAAUUGAGACCCACAAGGGUUUAUGACUACAUUGUCAAUGAGUGAUGAGCCUGCUGGAAAUAAUAGGACUGAUUCAGGACCAGUGAAAGAAGAUACACAAACCCAAGACGUGCAUUUUCAGAAGGAACGCUUAUGUCACUCAACAAACAUUUGUUGAGUUUUCACUAGGUGUUAGGUGCUGUGCUAGUUAGAGAUGCUGACCCUACCCAAGACAAUGAAGAUCUCAUUUUCUCAGUCCAAUUGAUGAAAAGUUAAACAUCAGCUCUAGAAAUCAAGACUGAGAAGAUGAGUUCAUGUAACUGUCCCUAGAUGAAUUCUUAUCUUCUUGGUCAGUAAGGCAGGGUCCUUGAAGCUAAAAGAUACAUUUUUUUUUUUUUUGAGAUGGAGUGUCACUAUUGUUGCCCAGGCUGGAGUGCAGUGGCGCGAUCUUGGCUCACUGCAAUCUCUGCUUCCCAGGUUCAAGCGAUUCUCCUGCCUCAGCCUCCUAAGUAGCUGGAAUUACAGGUGUCCGCCACCACGCCUGGCUAAUUUUGUAUUUUUAGUAAAGACAGGUUUCAUCAUGUUGGCCAGGCUGGUCUCGAACUCCUGACCUCAAGUGAUUCACCUGCGUCGGCCUCCCAAGUGCUGAGAUUACAGGUGUGAGCCACUGCUCCUGGCCCUAAAAGAAACACUUUUGAAAACAUUAAAUAGAACAGCACAGCACAUAGAAGAAAGGUGUGGAAGAUAUUCGAGGGAUAAUAACUUGCAGUGAUCUCAUCUCAAUGAUGCCCACACAUCAGUGACCACCUUUCAGCUCCACUACCUUUGGAUUAUGUACACGAGAAGAAGUCAGCACAGCAGUGAUUUGAAGUGUCUUCCUCUAACAUACAGAAUGUUUUUUCUUUGCCUCAAAAUCAUCUAAGAGCUGAGGUCAUCUACCACCUGUGGGGCUUGAAAUACCAAAAUGAAAAAACUUCCCCAGGAAUGAGCACCAAACAAAAUUUGCUGGGUAGCAGAAAGGUAAUGAUCUCUGAUAAGGAAAAGCACUAACAGGGAACUGGGUCUCCACACUUCGUAAACUGCCCAAGAAGUCUUCCAUCCUCCCUUGCUUUCCCACUGGGUGAAUUCCUCAGAAGAAGCAACUUCAGAAUGUCACUGCUUGCUGUCUGAGCUGUGCCACAAUGCCUCUGAAUUAGCCUGAGAAGCCUUGGUCAGGAAAAGCAAAGAAAUCAGAAUUGCAGGAUAAGGCUUCUCCCAAAAGACUCUCAAGAAGUGUCCUUUCUAUCUGUACAGAUCAGAGUGUUUGGACACUGUGCAGAAGUCUCAUGAAAAAACAUGUAACUUUAUCCUGAAGACAUCUCAGCUUCCCUUUUUAUGUGGAUGAUCAAGGGUGUCUGCAAGUCUGGGAAAAAGGGAUAGAGGAGAAUUAACAGCCAAUACUCCAGGGCCUGGCUUACUGAUAGGGAAAUGGCUGUGAUGACAGAGGAAUCUGGGGAGGCAGGAGGAGCUUGACAGAAACAAAUGGAUGUCCCAAAUAGG
Molecule: long non-coding RNA, 1899 nt
Filed under: Homo sapiens (human)
Lineage: Eukaryota; Metazoa; Chordata; Mammalia; Primates; Hominidae
Description: HSALNT0086197
Source: RNAcentral